CAAUAGCGUAUAUUAAAGUUGUUGCAGUUAAAAAGCUCGUAGUUGGAUUUGUGGCGUACGGUGUGUUCCGGGCACUUGUUGUCUGAGUAACCUGCUGUUGCCAUCCUUGGGUGGAACCUGUGUGGCAUUAGGUUGUCGUGCAGGGGAUGCCCAUCAUUUACUGUGAAAAAAUUAGAGUGUUCAAAGCAGGCUUAUGCCGUUGAAUAUAUUAGCAUGGAAUAAUGAGAUAGGACUUUUUUGCUAUUUUGUUGGUUUGCGCAAAGAGGUAAUGAUUAAUAGGGACAGUUGGGGGUAUUCGUAUUCCAUUGUCAGAGGUGAAAUUCUUAGAUUACCGAAAGACAAACUGCUGCGAAAGCGUCUGCCAAGGAUGUUUUCAUUGA
RNAcentral lists this ribosomal RNA (380 nucleotides) under uncultured eukaryote. RNAcentral's name for it is "partial 18S ribosomal RNA". It matches the Rfam family "Eukaryotic small subunit ribosomal RNA", at positions 592 to 976 of the family's 1831-position model. The record is from RNAcentral.